GUUAUAUGGUCAAGUGAAGAAGCGCAUACGGUGGAUGCCUUGGCAGUCAGAGGCGAUGAAAGACGUGGUAGCCUGCGAAAAGCUUCGGGGAGUCGGCAAACAGACUUUGAUCCGGAGAUGUCUGAAUGGGGGAACCCAGCCAUCAUAAGAUGGUUAUCUUGUACUGAAUACAUAGGUGCAAGAGGCGAACCAGGGGAACUGAAACAUCUAAGUACCCUGAGGAAAAGAAAUCAACCGAGAUUCCCUUAGUAGUGGCGAGCGAACGGGGACUAGCCCUUAAGUGGCUUUGAGAUUAGCGGAACGCUCUGGAAAGUGCGGCCAUAGUGGGUGAUAGCCCUGUACGCGAAAAUCUCUUGGUCAUGAAAUCGAGUAGGACGGGGCACGAGAAACCUUGUCUGAAUAUGGGGGGACCAUCCUCCAAGGCUAAAUACUACUGACUGACCGAUAGUGAACUAGUACCGUGAGGGAAAGGCGAAAAGAACCCCGGAGAGGGGAGUGAAAUAGAUCCUGAAACCGUAUGCGUACAAGCAGUGGGAGCCCACUUUGUUGGGUGACUGCGUACCUUUUGUAUAAUGGGUCAGCGACUUAUUUUCAGUGGCGAGCUUAACCGAAUAGGGGAGGCGUAGCGAAAGCGAGUCUUAAUAGGGCGUCUAGUCGCUGGGAAUAGACCCGAAACCGGGCGAUCUAUCCAUGGGCAGGUUGAAGGUUGGGUAACACUAACUGGAGGACCGAACCGACUACCGUUGAAAAGUUAGCGGAUGACCUGUGGAUCGGAGUGAAAGGCUAAUCAAGCUCGGAGAUAGCUGGUUCUCCUCGAAAGCUAUUUAGGUAGCGCCUCAUGUAUCACUGUAGGGGGUAGAGCACUGUUUCGGCUAGGGGGUCAUCCCGACUUACCAAACCGAUGCAAACUCCGAAUACCUACAAGUGCCGAGCAUGGGAGACACACGGCGGGUGCUAACGUCCGUCGUGAAAAGGGAAACAACCCAGACCGUCAGCUAAGGUCCCAAAGUCAUGGUUAAGUGGGAAACGAUGUGGGAAGGCUUAGACAGCUAGGAGGUUGGCUUAGAAGCAGCCACCCUUUAAAGAAAGCGUAAUAGCUCACUAGUCGAGUCGGCCUGCGCGGAAGAUGUAACGGGGCUCAAACCAUGCACCGAAGCUACGGGUAUCACUUAGGUGAUGCGGUAGAGGAGCGUUCUGUAAGCCUGUGAAGGUGAGUUGAGAAGCUUGCUGGAGGUAUCAGAAGUGCGAAUGCUGACAUGAGUAACGACAAUGGGUGUGAAAAACACCCACGCCGAAAGACCAAGGUUUCCUGCGCAACGUUAAUCGACGCAGGGUUAGUCGGUCCCUAAGGCGAGGCUGAAAAGCGUAGUCGAUGGAAAACAGGUUAAUAUUCCUGUACUUCUGGUUAUUGCGAUGGAGGGACGGAGAAGGCUAGGCCAGCUUGGCGUUGGUUGUCCAAGUUUAAGGUGGUAGGCUGAGAUCUUAGGUAAAUCCGGGAUCUUAAGGCCGAGAGCUGAUGACGAGUUGCCAUUAGGCGACGAAGUGGUUGAUGCCAUGCUUCCAAGAAAAGCUUCUAAGCUUCAGGUAACCAGGAACCGUACCCCAAACCGACACAGGUGGUUGGGUAGAGAAUACCAAGGCGCUUGAGAGAACUCGGGUGAAGGAACUAGGCAAAAUGGCACCGUAACUUCGGGAGAAGGUGCGCCGGUGAGGGUGAAGGACUUGCUCCGUAAGCCCAUGCCGGUCGAAGAUACCAGGCCGCUGCGACUGUUUAUUAAAAACACAGCACUCUGCAAACACGAAAGUGGACGUAUAGGGUGUGACGCCUGCCCGGUGCCGGAAGGUUAAUUGAUGGGGUUAGCUAACGCGAAGCUCUUGAUCGAAGCCCCGGUAAACGGCGGCCGUAACUAUAACGGUCCUAAGGUAGCGAAAUUCCUUGUCGGGUAAGUUCCGACCUGCACGAAUGGCGUAACGAUGGCGGCGCUGUCUCCACCCGAGACUCAGUGAAAUUGAAAUCGCUGUGAAGAUGCAGUGUAUCCGCGGCUAGACGGAAAGACCCCGUGAACCUUUACUAUAGCUUUGCACUGGACUUUGAAUUUGCUUGUGUAGGAUAGGUGGGAGGCUUUGAAGCGUGGACGCCAGUUCGCGUGGAGCCAACCUUGAAAUACCACCCUGGCAACUUUGAGGUUCUAACUCAGGUCCGUUAUCCGGAUCGAGGACAGUGUAUGGUGGGUAGUUUGACUGGGGCGGUCUCCUCCUAAAGAGUAACGGAGGAGUACGAAGGUGCGCUCAGACCGGUCGGAAAUCGGUCGUAGAGUAUAAAGGCAAAAGCGCGCUUGACUGCGAGACAGACACGUCGAGCAGGUACGAAAGUAGGUCUUAGUGAUCCGGUGGUUCUGUAUGGAAGGGCCAUCGCUCAACGGAUAAAAGGUACUCCGGGGAUAACAGGCUGAUACCGCCCAAGAGUUCAUAUCGACGGCGGUGUUUGGCACCUCGAUGUCGGCUCAUCACAUCCUGGGGCUGAAGCCGGUCCCAAGGGUAUGGCUGUUCGCCAUUUAAAGUGGUACGCGAGCUGGGUUUAGAACGUCGUGAGACAGUUCGGUCCCUAUCUGCCGUGGACGUUUGAGAUUUGAGAGGGGCUGCUCCUAGUACGAGAGGACCGGAGUGGACGAACCUCUGGUGUUCCGGUUGUCACGCCAGUGGCAUUGCCGGGUAGCUAUGUUCGGGAAAGAUAACCGCUGAAAGCAUCUAAGCGGGAAACUUGCCUCAAGAUGAGAUCUCACUGGAACCUUGAGUUCCCUGAAGGGCCGUCGAAGACUACGACGUUGAUAGGUUGGGUGUGUAAGCGCUGUGAGGCGUUGAGCUAACCAAUACUAAUUGCCCGUGAGGCUUGACCAUAUAACACCCAAGCAAUU
Molecule: ribosomal RNA, 2915 nt
Filed under: Pseudomonas sp. MWU12-2323
Lineage: Bacteria; Pseudomonadati; Pseudomonadota; Gammaproteobacteria; Pseudomonadales; Pseudomonadaceae
Description: 23S ribosomal RNA
Rfam family: Bacterial large subunit ribosomal RNA
Source: RNAcentral